GUGGAUUAGAUACCCUGGUAGUCCUAGCAGUAAACGAUGGGCACUAGGUGUGGGGGGUCAUCAACUCCCUCCGUGUCGCAGCUAACGCAUUAAGUGCCCCGCCUGGGGAGUACGAUCGCAAGAUUAAAACUCAAAGGAAUUGACGGGGGCCCGCACAAGCAGCGGAGCAUGUGGCUUAAUUCGACGCAACGCGAAGAACCUUACCAAGGCUUGACAUGCAGGGAAAAGCGGCGGAAACGUCGUGUCCGCAAGGGCCCUGCACAGGUGGUGCACGGCUGUCGUCAGCU
This 287-nucleotide ribosomal RNA is filed under the name uncultured bacterium. RNAcentral describes it as "partial 16S ribosomal RNA". It matches the Rfam family "Bacterial small subunit ribosomal RNA", at positions 773 to 1060 of the family's 1533-position model. The record is from RNAcentral.